UGGGGAAUAUUGCGCAAUGGGCGAAAGCCUGACGCAGCGACGCCGCGUGAGGGACGAAGGCCUUCGGGUUGUAAACCUCUUUCAGCAGGGACGAAGCCGCAAGGUGACUGUACCUGCAGAAGAAGCACCGGCUAACUACGUGCCAGCAGCCGCGGUAAUACGUAGGGUGCAAGCGUUGUCCGGAAUUAUUGGGCGUAAAGAGCUCGUAGGCGGUUUGUCACGUCGGAUGUGAAACCCCGGGGCUCAACCCCGGGCCUGCAUUCGAUACGGGCAGACUAGAGUUCGGCAGGGGAGACUGGAAUUCCUGGUGUAGCGGUGAAAUGCGCAGAUAUCAGGAGGAACACCGGUGGCGAAGGCGGGUCUCUGGGCCGAUACUGACGCUGAGGAGCGAAAGCGUGGGGAGCAAACAGGAUUAGAUACCCCCGUAGUCC
Molecule: ribosomal RNA, 431 nt
Filed under: uncultured bacterium
Lineage: Bacteria
Description: bacterial SSU rRNA
Rfam family: Bacterial small subunit ribosomal RNA
Source: RNAcentral